AACGAACGCUGGCGGCAUGCUUAACACAUGCAAGUUGAACGCAGAAUAGAACUUCGGUUCUAUUGCUGAGUAGCAGACGGGUGAGUAACGCGUGGGAAUCUACCUUCUUGUGAGGAAUAACUGAGGGAAACUUCAGCUAAUACCGCAUAAGCUCUACGGAGGAAAGGCUUCGGCCGCAGGAAGAGGAGCCCGCGUCAGAUUAGGUAGUUGGUGGGGUAAAGGCCUACCAAGCCAAUGAUCUGUAGCUGGUCUGAGAGGAUGAUCAGCCACACUGGGACUGAGACACGGCCCAGACUCCUACGGGAGGCAGAAGUGGGGAAUAUUGGACAAUGGGGGAAACCCUGAUCCAACAAUGCCGCGUGAAUGAAGAAGGCCUUAGGGUUGUAAAGUUCUUUCACCUGUGAAGAUAAUGACGGUAGCAGGAGAAGAAGCCCCGGCUAACUCCGUGCCAGCAGCCGCCGUAA
Molecule: ribosomal RNA, 464 nt
Filed under: uncultured bacterium
Lineage: Bacteria
Description: partial 16S ribosomal RNA
Rfam family: Bacterial small subunit ribosomal RNA
Source: RNAcentral